RNAcentral lists this ribosomal RNA (77 nucleotides) under Methylotenera sp. RNAcentral's name for it is "partial 16S ribosomal RNA". It matches the Rfam family "Bacterial small subunit ribosomal RNA", at positions 1 to 77 of the family's 1533-position model. The record is from RNAcentral. Lineage: Bacteria; Pseudomonadati; Pseudomonadota; Betaproteobacteria; Nitrosomonadales; Methylophilaceae.
AAACUGAAGAGUUUGAUCAUGGCUCAGAUUGAACGCUGGCGGAAUGCUUUACACAUGCAAGUCGAACGGCAGCACGG